Molecule: long non-coding RNA, 134 nt
Organism: Bufo bufo (common toad)
Lineage: Eukaryota; Metazoa; Chordata; Amphibia; Anura; Bufonidae
Exons: 3
Source: RefSeq, a predicted model, not a curated record
CUCACAGAGUCCCAACGCCGCACCAUAAUCCCGCGAUGCGCGAAAUAGCGCAUGCGCAGUUUGUUCCCUGAGGCUGAUGCCAGCACAGGGAAGGAACACUAUGCCGACACUGCGCAUGCGCUAGCUCACGCAUC